This 104-nucleotide small RNA is filed under the name Escherichia coli. RNAcentral describes it as "partial RtT sRNA". It matches the Rfam family "RtT RNA", at positions 29 to 130 of the family's 130-position model. Rfam says of the family: This family represents a bacterial cis-regulatory element known as RtT RNA. The exact function of RtT is unknown although it is thought that it may be involved in changing the cellular response in relation to amino acid starvation. Lineage: Bacteria; Pseudomonadati; Pseudomonadota; Gammaproteobacteria; Enterobacterales; Enterobacteriaceae. The record is from RNAcentral.
GCUUCGACUAAGGUUCGACUUGAGCGCCAGCGAGAGAGCGUUGCCGCAGGCAACGACCCGAAGGGCGAAGCGCGCAGCGCUGAGUAAUCCUUCCCCCACCACCA